GACGAACGCUGGCGGCGUGCUUAACACAUGCAAGUCGAACGGAAAGGCCCUGCUUUUGUGGGGUGCUCGAGUGGCGAACGGGUGAGUAACACGUGAGUAACCUGCCCUUGACUUUGGGAUAACUUCAGGAAACUGGGGCUAAUACCGGAUAGGAGCUCCUGCUGCAUGGUGGGGGUUGGAAAGUUUCGGCGGUUGGGGAUGGACUCGCGGCUUAUCAGCUUGUUGGUGGGGUAGUGGCUUACCAAGGCUUUGACGGGUAGCCGGCCUGAGAGGGUGACCGGGGACAAGGGGCGUAGGAGAGGGACAAGGCGGGUAGGGGGGGCAACGGGGGGGAGUGUGGGGCAGUAGGGCGGGGGCGGUGCCAGCGGCGUCCGGUGGGGAAAGAGGUGGGGUGGGGGAAGAACAGAAUGCGGCUGUGACUCAGCGGGAGUGACGGGACUGGGUAAAGAAGCAACGGCUAACUACGUG
RNAcentral lists this ribosomal RNA (468 nucleotides) under uncultured bacterium. RNAcentral's name for it is "partial 16S ribosomal RNA". The stretch from base 20 to 332 matches the Rfam family "Bacterial small subunit ribosomal RNA", at positions 47 to 358 of the family's 1533-position model. The record is from RNAcentral.